UUCUCUUCUCAAUCUGUGACCCUAGAUCGCGAACGGCAACCAAUCUUCAUCGUGCUUCCGCCGCAAAAAUCCUUGGGUUUCUUCAUUUGAUUGUUAACUUGUGACUGCUAGGUAGCAUUAUUGAUUAUUAAUUGUCUUUAUUUUUUCAAAUGUGCAGCCUUAUUCAUACUAUCUUUUGUUAGCAAAAUGAAAGAAGAGAAGGCAUAGAAAUGAGCUUGGUAACUAGCAUUCUUGUGGGUGGAUUUGCCAAAAUGGAAAAUGUAGACACUUUUGGGUUGCCAUUUCAAUUGUCUUCUUUGUUGCUGCUACAUUAUUUACUCUACUGAAACUUUGUGAUAGCCAGCCAAGCUAAGCUAAGUAGAUGGAAGCAAUUGUUGAAGUUGAAGAUUGUGAAAGCGUUUAAGAUUUCUUAUUUAAGUCUUGUAUUAGGAUCUAGUUUCAUGUAUUAUUAUAGAAUGUAUAUACAAACGCAAUAUUAAGA
Cucumis sativus (cucumber) is the source of this 481-nucleotide long non-coding RNA. RefSeq lists it as uncharacterized. The transcript is spliced from 3 exons. The record is from RefSeq and is a predicted model, not a curated record. Lineage: Eukaryota; Viridiplantae; Streptophyta; Magnoliopsida; Cucurbitales; Cucurbitaceae.